GCUAGCGUAGCUUAAUAUAAAGCAUAAUACUGAAGAUAUUAAAAUGGGCCCUGAAAAGCUCCGCAUGCA
RNAcentral lists this transfer RNA (69 nucleotides) under Nocomis biguttatus (hornyhead chub). Its description in RNAcentral is "tRNA-Phe". It matches the Rfam family "tRNA". From Rfam's summary of the family: Transfer RNA (tRNA) molecules are approximately 80 nucleotides in length. Their secondary structure includes four short double-helical elements and three loops (D, anti-codon, and T loops). The record is from RNAcentral. Lineage: Eukaryota; Metazoa; Chordata; Actinopteri; Cypriniformes; Leuciscidae.